Molecule: ribosomal RNA, 273 nt
Filed under: uncultured bacterium
Lineage: Bacteria
Description: partial 16S ribosomal RNA
Rfam family: Bacterial small subunit ribosomal RNA
Source: RNAcentral
UACGGAGGGUGCGAGCGUUAAUCGGAAUUACUGGGCGUAAAGCGUACGCAGGCGGUUUGUUAAGCGAGAUGUGAAAGCCCCGGGCUUAACCUGGGAACUGCAUUUCGAACUGGCAGGCUAGAGUGUGAUAGAGGGUGGUAGAAUUUCAGGUGUAGCGGUGAAAUGCGUAGAGAUCUGAAGGAAUACCGAUGGCGAAGGCAGCCACCUGGGUCAACACUGACGCUCAUGUACGAAAGCGUGGGGAGCAAACAGGAUUAGAUACCCCGGUAGUCC